CAGUCGCCGCGGGAAUACGGGGGGGGCAAGUGUUAUUCGGAAUGACUGGGUGUAAAGGGCACGUAGGCGGACAUUUAAGUCAGGGGUGAAAUCCCGGGGCUCAACCUCGGAACUGCCUUUGAUACUGGGUGUCUUGAGUAUGAGAGAGGUGUGUGGAACUCCGAGUGUAGAGGUGAAAUUCGUAGAUAUUCGGAAGAACACCAGUGGCGAAGGCGACACACUGGCUCAUUACUGACGCUGAGGCGCGAAAGCGUGGGGAGCAAACAGGAUUAGAUACCCCGGUAGUCCCUGUCUCUUAUAC
RNAcentral lists this ribosomal RNA (301 nucleotides) under uncultured bacterium. Its description in RNAcentral is "partial 16S ribosomal RNA". It matches the Rfam family "Bacterial small subunit ribosomal RNA", at positions 509 to 807 of the family's 1533-position model. The record is from RNAcentral.